Molecule: ribosomal RNA, 931 nt
Filed under: Triticum aestivum (bread wheat)
Lineage: Eukaryota; Viridiplantae; Streptophyta; Magnoliopsida; Poales; Poaceae
Description: partial small subunit ribosomal RNA
Source: RNAcentral
CACACAACCACUCAUACCACGGCCAACCACCAAUGCACGCACACCACACAUCCACUCACACCACGGAAUGCACAACAAGCUAUUCUGACACACCCACGCACGAAGCCCACGCCAUCACACAUCCAUGGCCGGUGCGAGCAAGCAUGCCAUCCGCGCGGACAGCGAGCUUGGCGGAUGCCCGGGCAGGGAGCAGGGCGGCCGCGCGGGCAACCAGCUUGGCGGAUGCGCGGGCGACGAGCAUGGCAGACAUGUGGGCGGCGAGCAUGGCGCGCGGCGGUGAGCUUAGCGGAUGCGCGGGCGACGAGCAUGGGGACGUGCAGGCGGGGAGCAUGGCGCGCGGUGGCAGCUCACUCCACCGUCGACUGCUCAGCGCAGGAGUGCGGCGGCUUCUUCCCUCGGGCGCGCGGCGGCCUCUUCGCUCGGGCUCCCAGCGGCCUCUUCCCUCGAGCAUGGCGCGUGAAGGCCACUAUAGAGGAGCUCCUUCCUCCGGCGUCGGCCAACCGACGCUGCUUGGCGCGCGGUGUUGCCGCUCUCUCUCUCUAGGAACCAGCAAGCACGGCCGGGCAGUGAUGCGGAUACCAGGGUCGGGCGAGUGGCACGGACGCGCGUGGCAGUCCGGUGGCGCGGCGAGUAGUACCAGGCGAGCAGCGCGGUGAGCAGGGCGAGGUGACGGCAGUGCCGUCCUUCUGGUAUUGUGCCCGGCGAGAAGUACGGCCGGCGGUGAAGUACCUGUUUCUGUGAUGGACUUGAUUGCUUUUCCUUUUUAGUUUCUAGGGGUCCUUGUGUAAAUUUUUAGGACAGCUUUGUAACUUCUCUAUAACUCCACCGACGAUAAAUGCAAGACAACACAAUAGUGUCAAAGCAAUAUCUCUGUGAACUAAACUUGUUUUGUUUUGUUGUUCUUAUGUCCGGUGAGAUGCUCUGCCCAGAC